RNAcentral lists this ribosomal RNA (482 nucleotides) under uncultured bacterium. RNAcentral's name for it is "partial 16S ribosomal RNA". It matches the Rfam family "Bacterial small subunit ribosomal RNA", at positions 30 to 507 of the family's 1533-position model. The record is from RNAcentral.
AUUGAACGCUGGCGGCAUGCUUUACACAUGCAAGUCGAACGGUAACAGGCCGCAAGGUGCUGACGAGUGGCGAACGGGUGAGUAAUGCAUCGGAACGUGCCCAGUCGUGGGGGAUAACUACUCGAAAGAGUAGCUAAUACCCCAUACGAUCUAUGGAUGAAAGCGGGGGACCGUAAGGCCUCGCGCGAUUGGAGCGGCCGAUGUCAGAUUAGGUAGUUGGUGGGGUAAAGGCUCACCAAGCCAACGAUCUGUAGCUGGUCUGAGAGGACGACCAGCCACACUGGGACUGAGACACGGCCCAGACUCCUACGGGAGGCAGCAGUGGGGAAUUUUGGACAAUGGGCGCAAGCCUGAUCCAGCAAUGCCGCGUGCAGGAAGAAGGCCUUCGGGUUGUAAACUGCUUUUGUACGGAACGAAACGGCUCUGGUUAAUACCCGGGGCUAAUGACGGCACCGUAAGAAUAAGCACCGGCUAACUACGUG